UCUAACUCCGUUUAUGGUGCAAGCUUUAGUUUGUACGCAAGACUGGCUGAGAAGGUCAACAGAUCCGGUCGACAUCAAGGAGAACUUGGAAGAAUUAGAAGUGCUAGAAAAAGAGUUGAUUGAAGAAUUUGGUGACAAGGUGAAGGGAAAGCGCAAGUUCAAUGGUGGUGUUGUUGCUUCUUCCAUGGCCAAGUCAAACAAGUGUGCAAGUCGACCAACAAAGUGACAUCCACGUCUACUCAUGGCUGAACUAAAAUGAUGUUGAAUGUAUGUUGUUUUAGUUAUCAUCUUUUGCUUUUAAUUUGUGACUCGAGACUUGAGAAUUGAGAACUGAGAGUGAGAGUGUGAGACCUUAAUGUUUGUUGUUUGCUGCUGAAUUGAAAGCAUGUACUAAACUUGAUUUGUUUCAUGUCAAGUACUAAGUGGUGAUGGUGUUUGCUGCUUGUCGACUCCAUGGGCUGAUCCGCUGAUGUUACUGGAUCUUCUUACUUUCUGGUGUCAAAUAUAAAUGAGUAUGCAUGCAUGGAUCUUGUUGCUGGUGAAGUGGUGAUUAUAUAUAGUGCUAAUUUUCUAUUUAAA
Molecule: non-coding RNA, 579 nt
Organism: Aegilops tauschii subsp. strangulata
Lineage: Eukaryota; Viridiplantae; Streptophyta; Magnoliopsida; Poales; Poaceae
Source: RefSeq, a predicted model, not a curated record